GCGCCAGUAGCUCAGUUGGACAGAGCAACGGAUUUCUAAUCCGUGGGUCAGGGGUUCGAAUCCCUUCUGGCGUGCCA
Molecule: transfer RNA, 77 nt
Filed under: Candidatus Cloacimonas sp. 4484_275
Lineage: Bacteria; Pseudomonadati; Candidatus Cloacimonadota; Cloacimonadia (SeqCode); Cloacimonadales (SeqCode); Cloacimonadaceae (SeqCode)
Also listed under: 1 other name
Description: tRNA-Arg
Rfam family: tRNA
About the family: Transfer RNA (tRNA) molecules are approximately 80 nucleotides in length.
Source: RNAcentral